AGUGCCACAGAAAGCAAACCGCCUGCCUUCGGGCAGGUAAGGGUGAAAGGGUGCGGUAAGAGCGCACCGCACCCCCGGCGACGGGGGUGGCAGGGCAAACCCCACCGGGAGCAAGACCGAAUAGGGGCGGCAUAUGGCGCACUUCCGCGCCGCAGCCCGGGUAGGUCGCGCGAGGCGUCCGGCAACGGGCGUCCCAGAUGAAUGGCCAUCUCCCGUGAAAACGGGGACAGAACCCGGCUUACAGACCGCCUGACGAU
This 257-nucleotide RNase P RNA is filed under the name Rhodospirillaceae bacterium. Its description in RNAcentral is "partial RNase P RNA component class A". It matches the Rfam family "Bacterial RNase P class A", at positions 108 to 367 of the family's 367-position model. From Rfam's summary of the family: Ribonuclease P (RNase P) is a ubiquitous endoribonuclease, found in archaea, bacteria and eukarya as well as chloroplasts and mitochondria. Its best characterised activity is the generation of mature 5'-ends of tRNAs by cleaving the 5'-leader elements of precursor-tRNAs. The record is from RNAcentral. Lineage: Bacteria; Pseudomonadati; Pseudomonadota; Alphaproteobacteria; Rhodospirillales; Rhodospirillaceae.